CACUCUUAAGUCUAGCGGCACUGGGGCACUCUAAGGCGUGGCAUUUUGACGAUCGUUUGCCGGGAGGCUCCCCAUCUCCUGCUCUGUUGUCUCGUGUGGUGGCGUCGUCGUCGCCGCCGCCUUUUUGGGAGCGCGCAGCCGGCGGGCAUGCCGGUGGCUGCGGGGGGCGGCGGCUAGGCUAGGGUAGCUUUGGCUCGACCAGAGGGGAGGCUAGGCCCGCCAGCACCGCGGCUGUACCGCGCCAAGCUCCACUUGCCGUUCAGCCACCUCCCGCACCUGGACGACGCCGCCGCGGUGACCUGCCGCGCGGAGCUGAAGACCGGGAAGGAGCGCGAGAUGCGCGAGACCGACGACGAGCGGCAGGGCCGCGACCUGAAGUGGCUGCGGGACCAGUAGGAGCCGCACGAGAGGCGGAGGGUGUAGGAACGCAAGGAGAAGUGGCGAACCAGGCACCUGAAGGCCCGCAAGCAGCCCGUGAGGUUCCAAUUCCUAUAGGUACGCCGCUUGCGCACGUUUCAUUAGGGCCGCUUCAAGGAGCCCAGCUUUCUCUAACACGGAGACGUAUAUGUCUUUUGACAACGGAACAGCAGCUGCAGUCCACUCUGUCUCCUCUAGAUGAAACUAAAGGCCUUCGUCUCUAAGAAAAUAAGCCGUCUCUUCCUAUUGAAAAAGUUCGAGGCAAUGGGCUGUUUCCUGAAUAAACCCGUGAUAUAGUUCCCGUGGCCCAUACCUUGUCUCCGGUUCUAAUUGUGACGAUACCUGUUCACCCCCUCUUUGUAUAAACUCAUAGGUGUCGGGUGUAAAGUCUUUAAUUACUUCCUCGUUACGUACCUCGGGAAAAAACAAAAGGUCCAAAAAACACAACCGGAAACCACAGACCUACUCAUAACCAUGAUGUCAAACAAAUGUGAAAAGUACGAGAAGGAUAAACUCAGAUGAUACCGUUUCUUAUCUAACUUCUGCAACUGACUCGAAUCCGCACACUUUCAACUAUUAGUCUAACACAACUGAAUGGCGACACCUUUUACCCAAUUUUAGAGUCCGUGUCUUGAUGAUGGACCUCUAUAACACAGUUAUCCGGCGAGCGGAUCACCACUUCUAUCUAGACAUGGUCGUCUAUACGAUAAUGACCGACCUAGACGGUAUCAUUUACUUCGAUAAGAAUGUCCUCUCAGAUGAGGUGUCACCUUCCAGAGUCAACGACCGGCACCGGGACUGCUUUACAAUAGCUAUUUCUCUCUAUUCUUAGUAUAGGAUAAACCACCGUGCUUCUAUGACGUUGUGUGCGGUCUAUUCAGACAUUUAGAAGCCCGCGGACUACCACCAACACAUCGAAAACAUAACUCUUGACCUAAACUCUGAUCGGUCCCUUUUAACUACUCUUGGUAGAAUAAGAGUUGACUCUCCCAAUGACGUUUAUCGUUCCUUUCACCCAACAAAUAUGAUAAAAACGAUAAGAAACGCUAUUAACGUAGUCCGAUACACGAAUACUUCCCUGACCUCCUAGGGUGUUCUUCGUCUAUAUUUGAAAAAAAUUCAACAAGUGACUAAGAAUGAAGACACUAAGGAGGACUUGACGGUUACCUCGACAGGUAUCGUCAAUUAUGUAGAAAUUAACGAAAUCAUUCCGCACCGUAAAAGACGUGUCUUGGUAAGUCUUAUGGUAAACGACCCUUCCAACUGUAUACGACGAAGCUAUUCUGACCUUGUAACUGUAGCCUACUAUACCUCAAGGUUCCUCAACAGUGAAACCUUUCGCUGCGUCUUAAUUAUAGACUGCGUUUAUUCAACGGAGAGGCGUAAGUUCUUCACGAAAGGUCGACGGUACGUAACCAUAAACACCUGUUGUUUGACCAACCACUGGGGGAACUUUUUCGACGUUAUUUUCCGUAUCUGACCUAGAUGUGGAGACUACUCUUUCGGUACAGAUCCUCCGGACCACCGGUUGGACAUGUCUAACAUGUGUCUAUAGUGAAACGAAGAGUAAACUUCUCUUACAGACAAUAACAGGCAUAGGUCCUCUUUAAAAUACGAAAGUAUUUCCCACGUGGCCUCUGGUAAGUCCUCUCCAAUCAACUAGAUGGACGACGUAUACACCUUUGUAUGUUUUUUAUGUGCGCAGUCCCGAGGGCCCAGAACAGAGAACGUAUGUUUGACGAAGGCCUCUACGGACAAUCACUUCGAUCUUCAGACCUUUCCCUAGUUCACCUCUCACUGAAUUAAAAACGACCAAAACGCCAGAAGUUGACAGGAUAUUCCUCACUAAGACGGCGACAGAACGAGCUUGACCUUGUUAGAAGGGUACUGAACCAAUACUAGUGGCCCCUGGUUCGAAACUGACGAACAGUACAACGAUCGGUUCACUUAUAGACAAGCUUCGGCCAAGAUUAAAAUUGUGCCUACUUCUGAUCACCUAAGCUCACCCAAAGGGGACUACUUUGACUAUCUCAAGGUAUGUCUCGACUCCUCCAAUUUCUUAAUAGUCUUAGUGUACUAGAAACGUAAUCACCCCUGACGAAACUUUACGAUGUUUCCUGGCUACGACAACAGGUUCAGUAAGGAGUACACUUCCAAAAACGCGCGCAACGAGGUCUUGUCUUUCUUGAACAUGACUGUUGUAAAUUCUGACAACCCUCCUACUGUGACUACACACCUCUACCUUGGUUACUACAACCGCGUGACUUUGUCCGUGUACAACCGUAUCGAGACAAUUUACGACUUGGCCACGUCUUUCGACCGAGCUUUAGAGUCAGUAGGUUUGAACUUUCGUUUAGUCCCUUCGACUUUUUUGGCUUUGGACGAUUGCUCAGUAGUAGUGUUAACCAAGGUGGUCGAUCGUCAAGGCGAUUUCGUGGGUCGUCGGCGGGGAACUGACGACGACUCUUUGUCGCGCUUUUCGACGUCUUCUACAAUCUACUUUACUUACUACUUUCACUACCGGCGAGUCGUGGAUAACAUUUCGAACCCCUACGUAGGUACCGGAGUGGAAAGUGUCGUUUCGUACGGAGACAACGGGGGUGCGAACUAUAGUAGGCGGUCCCCGCUUCGUGGGAUCAGUGAUGUGAGGUUUACAAGUUCUAAGAACCUGAGUUGACGGAACGUUGUCGUAUGCAAGAGUCACAUUACAUGAACCUACCACACUUUGACCCACUACAAGUUCGAUGUUAGUCACCACAGAAGUGCCGCCGUAAGAAGGAGAAGUAGAGGGUACGAGCGGGUGAAGUUCGUGACAGACGUCUCGCGGGAGUAGGAUUGUAGAAAACACGUAUGCAAAAGGAAAGGUAAGAGCCGGUCAAACGUUACGUGAACAAGAAGAACUACAGUCGACAGUUGAAUCGUAGGUUCAUAUACGGUCUCCUUACGUAACUCGGACUAAGUCUCAAGGUAGGUUUGGAGCAGUUGUGUCAAAGUAUGUACCACUUGUACUACUAGGUCCAGCGUUGGAAACGUCACUUGAUGUACCCGGUGGGAAAAUUGGUCUCAUAUAGUCUCUUGUUCGGUAAGUUCAUACGAGAGAUAAGUCGACAACAAAAGAAGUGCCAUUAGUGUAGCCUAUACAAGUCCCUAGACUUGCUGAUGUACUUCGAACUCGGGAACGGACUUCCUUACUCCCCGUUUGACGACGAAACCCGAUACGAAUACAAAACGCCAACGAUACCUACCCUCGCGAAGAACGCUACCCGCAAGGGUCCGUUCUACGGUCGUACCCUCUUCGCGGUCUUUGUCCGUCAACGUUUGGAUCUGUUCUUCGUCCGUAUCGUAGAACGUAAGAAAAAAGGUAGUGACAAACUAAGAAGUGGGAGGCGACCGGUUCCGUCGCUAGAACAGUGAUCAUUUGACUACCGUAUCAGCGUGAGAUUACACAUCAAAUCCUCUUAAAACAGUCUGAGAACUCGGGAUAAACAUCCUCCUAUAUCCCAACUAUGGAUGAGUUGUAUGUACGGACCAUACCUCCCAGUCUUAAAAGUCAAAGGUAUGGAACACGAUUACUACUGUACUUAUACGUACUUGUAUGGUAACUCCUGUGUGGCUGUGUCAUACUAAAUACUCAGUAGACAGACGACAAUAUUCAAUUAGGAUAAACUAUAACGUCAGAGAGCUCCUGGACGAUGGGCUUGCCAAGGCGGCAAGGUAACCGAACGGUAGACCUUAAUGAACGUAUGUAUUUGAAACAAGAACACCUUCACAUAUACUACACGUUAAAAAGG
Molecule: ribosomal RNA, 4208 nt
Filed under: Triticum aestivum (bread wheat)
Lineage: Eukaryota; Viridiplantae; Streptophyta; Magnoliopsida; Poales; Poaceae
Description: partial small subunit ribosomal RNA
Source: RNAcentral